Molecule: long non-coding RNA, 10891 nt
Filed under: Xyrichtys novacula (pearly razorfish)
Lineage: Eukaryota; Metazoa; Chordata; Actinopteri; Labriformes; Labridae
Source: RNAcentral
GUGAGGAAGAGAGAGCAUGGUAAACGGGGGCUGUGUGGUUUAAGAGCUGGUUGUAGCCGCAGUCUGGGGCAGAUGUUAGCCGGCAGGUUUUGGCUGUGUGUGCUUUCAUUAGGUUUAGCUUUCAUUCGCUCCCCGGUGACGGGCUGCUCUGCCAAAUGAGCUCCCAUGUGAGACGACUGCGGUUCCAGCCUGACGUCCGAAAAUUGUGUCUGGCUGCGAAAGAAGAAGACGUGUAUGUGCUGCUGUGCAUCUCCUCUACACGCAGUUGAGCAUUCAUUAACAUAAAAUCAAACGCGUUCUUGUGGUGAGGGACAACACAAUGCUGUGAUUCUUUGGCACGUUUUAUAUAGCAGACACACGCACACACACACACGCACAUUGACUCGUUCAUACUGCGUCAUUGUUUAUCUGCAAGUAGAGACAGUUUCUUUCGUCUGCGCUCACCAAACAAAGGUAGAUUUAUGAGAUGGAAAAAGAGUUAUUUCCCUCUCUUUAAAUAUAACCUCUCUUGUGCUGGAAGGCAGCUGUGAAAAACAUCUCUGGAAUAAUGGAGGAGAAAACAUUAUUAGCAAGAAAAAGCCCUUCACAUUUCACACUAAAUAUUCCCCUGUAAGCCAACAGUCGAUAUUUCUUUGUUAGCGUGUUGCUGCAUUCUGUAAUUAUGUUUUUGCCCUUUCUGGGAAACACGGUCGUGAAAGAAGAAAUGAGAGGGUUGAAAUUGAAUUCUUUGCCUAUGUAAUUGUUUAAUGACGAAUGGAGCCAUAAAUUGGAGCAAAGAAACGGAAAGUUUACAUUUCUGCCCUCCAGAAGAGAAGGCAAUAUUUCCCCUCUGUGAAAUCAAAUAAUUAUUUAUUCUGCUUAUUCUGUUGAAAUCCUCCCCAAGUAUGAAUUUUAUAUGGCGCAUUUUAUUAGCAGCUGUAUAUUCCGAUGAUUUAUUUAACAAUGAGAGGCAGCGCAGAUGAGGUCGUAGUUAACGAAUCAAACAGCAAAGUCAUCUUCAUCAUAUCCUCCACCCAAGUGUGAUUUCAACUCAGCAGAGGUUCAGCAGUCAUAAAUGCUGAAAUGUCACACAAGUGUUUAUCCACGGAGGCUUCCAGAAGCAGGUACAUUAUAGAUAAUUGGUCCAGCUUUAGCCAUACGCUGCAGCUGAGAGGCAUAUCGCGCUUUCAACACCUGCACAUUGAUUUAAUUAGCACAUGGAUUCAGCCCGACAUCCUCUGAGGAACCACAGUAAUUAAAAAGUGGCCUUUAAGAGUCUGUGUUCAUGUUCCAUGAUAUCACAUAAGCUGCUAGUCUAAGGUCUCAGGAAUGUGGGUAAAUUGAAAUGAAGGGAAAUGAAAAUCCUUGAAAAAAGGAAGAAAAAGUACAAGGGAGAGUGGCUGGCUGAGAGCAAGUUAGCUACAAGCGAUUAACUUAAAAUUAAACGGCAACUUCACAGUCAGUACACGGGGGAGAGUUAGAUAGAGCCAGUGAAAGUCAACUAAGUAACACUUUAUUUGAGGCCUAUCUCUAAAACUUAUUAUAAAUAUAUGUAUAAUGCAUUAUAGUCAUGUUAUAGCACUAUAUAACUAUGGUUAUAAACACACAUAAAUGAUCAUAAUGCUUUACAGCAAUAAUCAUAACACAUUUUAAAGUAUUUUAUUAUGACUUACAAGGUCAGGGAUUAUAAUGUGUUGUAGCUGUGAACAACAGUUGCAUUGCAUUAUCUAUGUGGGUUUUGUCAGUGAGUUGUUAACAGUUAUAACACAUUAUAAUGCCUGACCUUGUAAGUCAUGAUAAAAUGCUUUAUAAUGUGUUGUAAUCAUUGCCAUAAAGCAUUAUGAUCAUUAAUGAGUGUUUAUAACUAUAGUCAUACAGUGCUAUAACAUGAUUAUAACGCGUUAUAAAUAUAUUUAUAAUGUGUUAUGGAGAUAGGCGUCAAAUAAAUUGUUUCCAUCAACUACAUUAAAAAGAGAAUUUUAAAGGAUUUUUUCAUUGUUCUAAGUCCAUGAAAUUAUUGUCAAUAGUAUUUGUGUUUGCCAAAGGGGACGCCAUCGGCCCCUUUGUCAAGAAGCUAGCUAGACAACCAUAACUAAGGCUAAACCAUCAGCUGCAGUACACUGUAUACAUACUCAAGUGGCAAAUUUGACAAAAACCUCAUCCUGCUGACUUUUAACUGUCAAAUCAAUCAUUUUCUGUUGAAAAUUGUAAAAACAGCGCUGUUUCUGUAGCUGUCCAGUCAACACUUCACCUCUUUCACUGGUUUCAGGCUUUAAAGCUAAGAUAUAAACAUGAUCCAUCUUGUUGCUUAUGGUCUUAUUUGCCUUUCGAUACCAUGGAAAGGCAUCAAUAUGAGUUUUAGUCGCUUUCAUAUUUGUGAAAAAAUUCCUCAUAGGAGCUUUAAGACCUACAAAGUAAACAGUAUUUGUGGCACAAAUUGUCCGCGCUUUACUUUGCCAUCAGUGAUGAAAUCCUUUGGGGUGGAGGUUAACAACACAGACAUGUUCUUGUGUCUGCAGAGCACUGAUCAGUUGUUUGGAUACAUGGGCUUCGAAGGAGACAGAAAUACAAACUAUAAAUCGUUUACUCUGGGCAUGAGAGGACUCCUAUAUGAACAAGAGUUUACAGAUAAAAGAGGAAAGAGAAGAAUGAGACUGAAAGGACAUAGAAAAAGUAAAAGAAACUUCUGUGCUAACUCUGGAUGGGGAUCGUUAAUUUUUAUUGAUACUGGUACCAUUAUCAAGACUCCUCAAUGAUUGGAGCCCUUAUAGAUACUGUACUCCUAUCAAGUUUGUUUUUUAUUAUUGUUUUCUCCCAAACUAUUGUAUCUAAACAAGUUUUCUUGUCCUCCAUAUGCCUGCAGGGUGUCUCCUGAAAAAAAAAAGAAAAAAAAAACACUCAUCCUGCUGACUUUGUACAGUCAAAUGUGUCAUUUUAUGUGGAAAUUAUAAAAACAGAGCUGUUUCUUCAGCUGCUUGGCUGACACCUACCCUCUAAUUAUAAUAUGAAGAUAUUCAGUCUUCUUGCUGAUGGUGUUUGUUUUUGUAAAUCAUAAAAAAGAGCAUCAAUAUUAAUUUUAUUCCAUUUCAUAAAUAUGUAAAAAUCCCUCCUGGGAGCUUUAGUUCCUCAUUUUACUGACCAGACCUUGAGAAACUUACAGUGUAAUCAUAUGUCACCUCAGUUAGUUAGCUAACCAGCUUUUAUCCUGCUGAUUCCAACAUGGAUUUCAACAUUUGAUUAUGAUUUUAUGAUUAUGAUUUUAACAAACAGCACCUGCUACAAAGUCUGGAUGUGCUUACCCAGUUGCUUUGAGGAUGGUAGCCCUGCAGCAGCAGAAGCAGCAGCUGGAGUUGGUGGAGUUGUUUGGAGGUACUGCAUUAUUGCAACAUAAAUUGUAUUUUGCGUCAUCCCUAUCUUUAACUUACUUGCAAUUUUUCAAUUCAGUUAAAUUUAAAUCACUUUAUGUUCCCCAGGGGCAAUUUAACAUGACAUGUUGGUUGCUGUAAUGUGGACAUGACAGCAUCUUAAAAGGACAUAACACCAAACAACACAAUUGGACAUAAUAGUAAAUAAUUAAAUAAAAGACCUGGAGUUUAACAACUGUUUUCUGCCAGUUCAAAAAAAAAAAUUAAAAGAUAGUCUUGUUAUGCAUGCACCAUUAUUUUUAAUGAACAUGAUAUAACUUAUCUCAAAGGAUAACGUAACCACCAAUUUUUGAUACUAUCUUGAGAUCCUAAGGUACCAAACAGUACAGGCAUGUUAAUGGUUUAAACUGUUCGCAAAAGUCCACAAAUGUCGAGUAACUGCUGUCGGGACUUGGAUUUGGUAAGAACUUUCUUCAGUUUUUUGGAGUUAAAUCUGAAAACAAGAAAAGCUGAAGGUAACUUAAAGUUUUCGUGUCUCUUUUAAAACACAAAUUCUCUCUUCAUAUUAGGACUGUUGGUUUUUCAACGAUUUCUCAGGAUUCCACAGAUGACUUAAUGUGUUUGUACAUUUGUAGAAAAUACAACAAAACCAAUACUGAUAGACUCAGAAAAUAACUGUAAACACUGUAAACAAUAAAUAUAACGUACACAUCUGUGGAGUAACCUGUGAGCUAGUUGAGGUGGGAAACCCAAGCUGCAACGGUUUCACACUUGACCUGUGUCAUCCACUCCAUCACCUGCUGCACGUAACAUAUCCUCCCUUGGAGGCCCAUUUAAGCUCCAAGAUUUUCAGGUCUUUCUGUCUGAGCUGCAUCAGCUUUGCACUCACAGCCGAGGCAUCAACACCUCGCCGACAUCCACCUGCAGGCUCCAGAGGGGUUGAACAUAUUAUCACACCUCUCCUCAAUUAUCUGUAUGUAAAAUAAAUCUGCCAAAAAGACACCUGUUACAAACAAUCAUCGCUGUUGAAAUACACUUUUAAAGCCGUACAGCGUGAGUCAUCUGACUGGAGCAAAUUAAUUAAGCUCUGCUGCUCAUGGAUAUUAUGUUUGAGUACAAUGAACAUUUUUGUUUUUUUUGUACUGAAUGUUUCUAUUGAAUGGUGUAUCCUCAUUCAGGUCUGUUAUCUGAAAAUACUUGUUACAACACCAUGAUGCAGUAUUUUUUCAGGUCCCAACAAAUGUGUUGAAAGACAGAAGCUCAAAUUUAGACACAAAGCUCUAAUCUAAGUCAAAUUUAGGUUUGAUAAAGUACUGACCCUGGUUUUUCAUGCUUCUCCCUACACACUCAGAACAAAGUGAGGGUUUAUGAUUAUUUUGAGUAACCAAAAACUCAUUUAGCUCAAUAUAAGUCAUAUACCCUGACAAGUCCAGAUAAGCUUAUUAUUUCAAGAAAUUACCAGCAAAAGAAGAGCCUGUAACAAGCAGGGCUGGGAUUCUGUAACUUUUCUACAACUUGCAGUAACUACUUGUGUAUCUAGAAACGCAACAACAAUUACAGACAUUUAAGAGGACUUCUUUCUUGUUGCUAAAUGCCAAGAAGCCAACAAUUGCAUGAGAUGAAUCAACCAACUUGAGAGGGAAGGUCACGCCAACAUCAGCACAGUAGCAACCUAAGAGGAAAAUAUCCCACACAAUAAACACACAAUGGCUGAUGAUCAUUCAGGUGUGAGCUUUCUGGUUUGGUAGUGCAGUUGUAUUUUUCUCCUCUCUGGGUAAAGGACAAGGUUAUUAUGGUGAGGAAAAUUUUCCCACUACCAAAACCCACUUAUCUUAAAAAGGUGCAAAGAUGAGAUGUAAAUCUAAGUUUUGAAGCCAGUGAGACCUGUUUCUAAAUUGUAGGUGAUGUUACAACGGCUUCAUGCUAAUCUGUGUAUAAAACUGUGUCAUCAGCGUACAACUACAGUUAAAGAUCUGGACAAAAAUUUCCCUGAAGGCUAAAGAGGAUUGGUCCAAGUAUAGAGCCUUGAGGUACUCCAAAUGAGCAGCUGGUUUGGUGAUUGUGCAUUUCCAUUUUGGACAGCUGGUUCUCGAUCUUCAAAAAGUCCAGAAACAGCUUCGAUAACCACCCAGAUAAUGUAGGGGCUAUAUUUUCUGUCUAAUGUGUUGUGUAUCUUAAUAACUGCUGUUCUAAGUGAUCCAUUUGAUUUUGUUUUCCAUGUAGGACUCAAAUUUAGCUCAAAUCUGUGUUCCGCAUGAUGUGUUUUGCAGCAUGUUCUAGCUCUUAUGUUGCAGCUCUUGCAGCCCCAUCGAAUCAGAAACUGUACUUAACCGUUGCAAACAGCCUGCUUCUUUCUGAUGCGUUUCCCUCAAUAACUCCACCUUUAAAAAGGACAUAAUCCCUUUAACUAAGCAGGUGCCAGCCAGACUCUGAGCCCUCUCCCGCUUUGAAAACCCCUCCAAUAAUGUGCAGAGUAAAAAAACAAACACAGAUCUCCAGUAUUUCAUGUUUAUUUCCUGGUAUCCCGCGGUGAACUCUGCCUCCUGUACAUCAGUCAUUAGCACCUCCUCUCUGCACUCAGUCUCCUUCCCACUCACCAUAUGUUCUCCAUGAUGCAGUAGAAUUAAGUUACCCCUCCCCUAAGCUCUUUAUUCCAGCUUGAACUUUCAGCAGACACAUUGGGGAACUUUAAAUUAUUGCUCUCUGCUUUGCGCAAGUAGAUCCUGGUGUUUGAUAUUAUUAGCAAAUCUUUAUAACAUUUCCAGGAUCGUUACAGAUAUGAGUCAUGACCAUUUAUAACAUCAGCAAACCUCUUUCAUUCUACAGAUUCGACUAAAUCGCUCCUGAAUAUAAUAAUUUAUACAUCAAAAUCUUAACUGGUGGUUUGCUUUGCCAGAUGAAAUAUUCUUUUCCGCUGCAGCAGCUGACAGUGAGUGGAACUAGUUUUGAAGAGAGUAAGAUGUUGGAGAGACUAAGCACGAUGUGAAGUAGUUGUCUGUUGAAAGGUUGGUUUUCAGCCGGCAGCAGGAGAUGGGCAGUACCUCUUCUGUUCCGACUUUGGCUUGGAGUUCAUUAAAUCGCUAUGGGGCCUGAGCAAAGAGGAGGCAUGAGAGUGAGUGAAGGGUCUGAUUGUGGCUCGGAGGAACUGUGGGAAGGAGCAGCAGCCCACAGUGCCCUUUGGGUCGGCAGAAGAGUCUUGAACUGGAUGCAAACCAUAAGAGUGUAGUAAAAGAGAGACGAAGACACGGAGGCUGAACUCCAGAGAGAGAGAGAGAGUGGCAGAGACAGGGGCUGCAGUAAAAGGGAGGUAUGAAAUAGACAAAUAGAUCAAUUUUUCAUGGCAACCGUUUUAUGGUGACACCUCGCUCAGGGUGGGAAGUUUGAGAGCGGUCUAGUGAAGUCCAUAUGAAAAUGGUUAAAUGGACUAGACUCCUUGCUUGAGUGCCAGCACUCCUACUUGAAAGAGUCAAAAGUGGGAAAUUGAAUUCUCCAGAUCUGAAAAAUAUCUGAGCUGAAUAUUUUUGUAAAGUGAGGUUAAAACUGACCACUUAAAACGGGAAUAUGGUCUGAUAUGAAUAAAAAGGCUCCAUGUAAACACGAAACACAGUCCGACCCAUUAGAAAAUGGAUUUAAUUCUGUUCAAGAUGGUUUAUGGUUUAAUAUUGAGAUUGUUAUAUCUCACCCGUUUGACAUGACAAGCUUCUGGUCUUUCAUCUGCAAAUUUUGUACAAACUUGGCAGGAGAAAAACAUAACUUAGUCUGUAGCUGACACAACUUCUGAACUGGAGACUUAGAAUAACUUCAUGGUUGAACGUCAAAACGGUCAGAUUAAGACUUCCAAAGCUGCAUGAUGAAGAGGAAACUGUCUUAAGUGGUGCAGAAAAGCAGAAAGUAGAGGUAUGUAGAGAAAAAACUGCACAUCAUAGCAACCAUUUCCUUUUUCAUGCUCCAUCAACUAAACAGUCUCAGCAGAGCCAACAGCCCAAGUGGAAUUCGGCCUUGAUUUCUGUCCAGAUUUUUACUAAUCAUUGUUUUUGUUGUCGCUUAUCAAUGAAGAAGUAAAAUGAUCACAAUGUCAUAGUUUUGGACACAACGGUGAGCUAUGAAGCUUUCCACCCACGUGUCAUGAGCAAAUAACUCCAAUUCCAGUCAAUGUGGCCGCCCUCCAACGACUAACGGAAAAUAAACACUGGGACAGGAGGUCACGCUGAUAUUCCCACAGAUAGAGGAUGACAUCACUGCAGUAUUGUGCAGUCUGGUGAUGGGAAGGUGUCCAUCUGGGUGGAAAGUCUGCUGCCAAACUAGAGUCAGUGUCUCAACAGAAACUAGCACUUUUUUUUCCCUUUUCACACAGAUUACUGAAUGUGUGGGUCAGUGAGGUCCAGUACAGCAGUCGUGGUGCAGUUGUGGUUUAUUUGAUCAACUGGUCUUGUUCCAAAGAAGCCACACGAGCAUACAAGAUACUGGAAAACAGAACAGACAAGAACAACAUGAAGAUGAGAUUAUAAAAAAGUCGAUCAGUGAUAAAAUACAAUGAAAUGAUUAGAAUAUAGUUUGUACGUACUAUAAUUUAAAUGUUUCAGAUGCAUUUUUAAGUGUGGGAUGUGCUAAGGAUGGUAACAUAGACUGUAUAAACAGUGUACCACUUGGCUCCGCCUUCUGUCAUUAUAUGAAUUUGAUGCCGAAUUGCUCUCGGUAUUUCGGAGAUGUUCUCCAUAAACCCCUAAUAACUUUUAAAAAUGGAGCUGCACAGAAAACAGAGGACUUGAGCACAAACCAGUCUUACAGUAGCUACAUGUCGACAUCGCAAGCAAGGGAGGAGAAAAAUUUAUAUUCUGUGUAAUAAAUUUCAAAAUUUUUUCCACAGCUCCAUAGGGCUUGCUGGAAGAGGCGGGAUUUAUGACCUAUACUGCAGCCCGUCACCAGAGGGUGCUGUUCUCAGGGUGGCAUCAUCAAGGGGGGAGACAGACGGUGUCCAUUCUAUAUACAAUCUGUGGAUGGUAAUUUCUUCUCACUCAAACAUAAGCCUCCAAGUAUGUUUUACCAUUUAAUCAUCUUACUGCGUCCAAGUAUGCAGGGUUUGAAAUAAUCUCACUCUGCAGAGUCUCCAAGUCGCCGCACUCAUGAGCUGCUGUGUGCAGUUUCCCCCCUGAGACUCGCCCUUUCACCGAUUGAACAAACUGGCUUUCGAGCCAAGUUAUUUUCUGAAGUACUAUGUUUACAUCGCCCCGCAACUUGUUCAGUACAACAGGCCUUACAUCCAUGAAGUCCAGAUGGUACAGACCCCUCAGCUCUGCUACACUCCAACUUCAUCUGUUGUUGAUGGCAGUACUGUCUGUCCCUGAUGUCCUCGAAUCAAGCUGUGAACAACUUUCUGUUUGUGUUCGAGUUAGCCCGACAGACCCUGAUGAUCUCCAACCCCACAAAGACCAGACCAGCUCCACUCAGAAGAAAAGAAAUGUGUUCAACACAAUGGACAACAUGAACAAACGUCUCAGAGCUCAGAAACACAUUUGUGUGCUGAGUUAGAGAUUUUUGAUUGAUUGUUUUUUCGCAUCUUUUGAAGCUGAAUCUGAGUGAACGAGCCCAACAAAGAAACCAGUUUCAGAGUCAAAAGAAAACCCUCCUCUGAGUUGUACAGUAGUGAAAAGCCGGUUGUUAUUUGUAAUCAUGAAGCUGGUGGCUGCAGCAGGAGUGAAUCCAGCAUUAUAAACUUUAUUUUCAAAUAUAUCAUGUAGGAGUUUCAGUGAUCCAGCAGCUGUUGAGUCUGUAGUAAGUAUGGAGCAUGGGUGAUAACCCGAGGCUGUUUAAUGUGCACACAGAGGUAGCAUCAGCUAGAGAGACUGUGUUUUUCUACCUCCUCUCAUACGCUCACACUAGUUCAAAACACACCAUAUAGAGUCUGCCAAAGGAAGAGGCUCCGAGGAGUCUUGAGUAAACAACAGGAUUAAACAAGCAAACAAAAAAUGGUGGUGAGUUUCUGUACGUGUGUGAGAGGAGGAUCUAUAUGAGCUGACAGAAAAACACAUCAGUUUACCGAAGGUUGGUGAUGAGUCAAAGUUUGUCCGUGUUUCAAAAAAGUAAGGGUUAGUGUUCGCCUGCAGGAUGUCAGGUAAGCUUAGAAAGCAAUGAUUUGAAUGAUGUACAAAUACAACAAUGGUCGUAUUUUUGUGGGCUAUAGGUCUUAUAAAACAUACACCAAGGUCGGUAUAGCUCAGAAUUCAGGCCUGUUGACAGAAGCAUGUUGUGCUGAAAGAAGCAGUUGUGUUGUUUGCAGGCGACAGGAGUCCCGGCUCGCCGUAUAUCCAACCCGCUGACAAAUAAAUAAGAGCGAAUGUUCCAUCGGAGGAAAAUAAAGCAGAAUUUCUGCUGACAUCUUGAAUUGAUUGCAGAGGAAACGAGCUGACCCCACCUGUGCUGCGCAGAGAUAAGAGAUUUACAAUGCAUGCAGGCCUCCGUCAGCAGCAGCACGUGGCUCCUCUCUUAUGUAAAACCGAGACAACAGAGAAGACUAAUGCUGCUUUGUCUGUGUGUUUCAUCCUCCAGAUUCAAGAGGGACUUCAGGAGCUGCUCAUUUAGUGUGUGAGAUGGAGUUUUUUUUCCAGAGGUGCUGUGGAAAAGGCCACCUGAGUGCAGGAAAGCGAGCAUCACUGAAGAUCAAAGCCACACCUCUGGGCUUUGUUACAUGUUCAGUUAACUUCCAGCGCUCCAGUUACAGCUCCCUCCCUCAGCUCUUUCUCCGCUCUCAGCAAAGAGAGAAUUAAACCCGACUCGUGUCAUCAUACGCAAUCCGUCUUCAUUUGUUAAUGCGUCAGGGCCGCUCGUCGCCGCAUUGUGAGCUGAAACCAAGCAACACGGCCUGCUUCACGGCUCGUCAUACCGCCAGGGCUGAGGUUCGGUCUUCAAGGUCCCUGACAGCGUCGCCUGUUUUCAGCUGUCGUCACACUGGAGACGAAGAGCAGAAAAUGAAGAUGAGUACCAUGAACUCGUACUAUUUUUUCCCCUUUGGCCUUCUUCUAGUACAUGAUGUAUGUUGAACUAUUUUUACAGACAAAUAAAGGUUGUCUUAAGAAACUCACCUAUUUACAACCUUUUUGCUUUUUAAGUCUGAUCAACAUCAAACUGCGAAAGAGCUUCUUCUCAAAAGCAAAAGCGAGAUCUCUUUGAUUCAAUUUGAUGCAAAAUGUAUACUGUGUUUAUCACUGCAGAGUUAAAGCUCCUGUUAGGAUAUUUUUAUGUUUAUGAAACAGUCUGGAAUUCAUAUCGAUACCUUUUUAUGAAUUACAAAAGCAAAGAAAACCAUUGAUCAUUCUUGUACUGUGUCUUUAGUUGCCUUAAGUCAGUGUGAGGGGAGGUGUCAGCCAAGCAGCGACAGAAGCAACCAUGUUUUCACAAUUUCUACAUAAAACAUUCACAAUAAAUGAUUGAUUUAACUUUAAAAAGUCAGCUGAAUGAGAUUUUGUGGGAGAAAUAAUGCUCAAACAUGUAAAAGACAUGAAAGUAAAAGUCUGCUCUGAGUACAGGAGGCGCCGAAAUUUAGACAAACC